Long non-coding RNA from Tympanuchus pallidicinctus (lesser prairie-chicken), 1326 nucleotides. RefSeq lists it as uncharacterized. The record is from RefSeq and is a predicted model, not a curated record. NCBI's taxonomy places the organism in Eukaryota, Metazoa, Chordata, Aves, Galliformes, Phasianidae. The transcript has 3 exons.
CCCCGCCUUCCCUCAUCUCUUCUUGCACUCUUUGCCCCCUUUUUCUCCCCCCAUCCUUAUUUCUCUUCACAUUCCCCUGUUCUUUUUUCCCCUUUCCUCUUCUUCAUCCCCAGCUCCGCUUCCCCCCCCACCUCACGUCCCCUUUCUUCUGUCCCUGUACCCCAUUUUUCCCCUUUUUUCCCCAUCCCCCUUUUUUUUUUUUUUUUUUCUCUGCUGUCCCCUAUUCCCUUUUUCCUCUUUGCUCUCUCUCUCUCCUUUCUUCCCCCUCAUCCUGUUACAGAAGAGAGUGAAGGAAUGAUGGACAAGCUGGUGCAGGAUGGCAGCAGCAGGGUGGAAGCCCAGGUGGGUGCGAUGAAGCCGGGGGUGGGAGUGGGUGGAGCCAGAGCCCAGCCUGAGCUCAUUUAAGGGCUGGGAAUCGCAGGGCUCAGAUGUGUGCCUGGGCUUCUGGUGUCAGUGAGGUUGGGUGAGCAGUGAGGUUUGGGAGGGACCGACUUGUUGGCCUUGAGAUUGAUGCCCAGCUCCUUGCUCGUCGCAUUCUGUUCGGCUCGAGGUUCCGGACACGGCUUGCUCUUCUAAGCAGCGUGAGGACUGCGAGAAAGACUUUGUUGGAUGCAGCAGGAAAGCACAGCCGCUGGUGGAUGCCAGUGUCCGCUCCUGAGGCUCUGCGCCAAGCUCUGCCCAGUACUGAUGGGAUGUCAGUGCCACCUGCUCCUCUCAACAAAAGGAAGGUUCAAUUCAUUUUGGCUCCUGUAGUAUUUGCUACACGUGUGUUCUGUUUCUCUUCUCUUUUUUCCAUGUUGCCUGGCAGUGCCUCGCUGGAGUUCCCAUGACCCCCGGGCACACUUGUGACCAAGUGAGGUGCCAAAAGAAGAGGUAUCUCCUAAACAGGCUUCUGCUGAGUGCUGUCCUCGUCUUGGGGUUUGUCCAAUGCCCACCUUUCUUUUCUAACCCACUUUGUUGAGGACGGCGUGUGAGGCUUUCUUCUUUCUUUGUAGGAUUGGCGACUCCACCACCGGACCUAGCAGGCAUUUUGGGAGGUCUAUGGUUCCGCAGAGAGCAUGUCCUGUUCCUGGUAAAGGUGUGGGCGUUCCUGGACAUAAAGGUAUCUUCAUGCUUUCCCCAUUUGCCAAGUACCCUGCCAGAUGCUGUUCGCAUUUUGACACCCCCUCAGUUGCUGUAAUGUCUGCGCCCUGAUUCUUGGACUGGGGUAAGUGACACCUUUGAAAACAAGUGACAUAUUAGGCUAAAAACAGGGAUUUCUAUGAAAAUAAGAGAUAUUUGAGGAUAAAAACAGGGAUUUCCAUGAAAAUAAGCGAUAUUUUAGAG